Molecule: ribosomal RNA, 256 nt
Filed under: uncultured bacterium
Lineage: Bacteria
Description: partial 16S ribosomal RNA
Rfam family: Bacterial small subunit ribosomal RNA
Source: RNAcentral
GAAUCAACGCUGGCGGCGUGCCUAACACAUGCAAGUCGCGCGCGAAAAGGGGGCAACCCCUCGAGUAGAGCGGCGAACGGGUGAGUAACACGUGGGUAAGUCUACCUUCGAGUGGGGAACGAACAUCGGGAAACGUAGGUGCUAAUUCCGCAUGACAUCGUCGGGGCGUUCGGUUCUGACGAUCAAAGACUGGGGAGUCGCAAGACCUAGCGCUUGAAGAUGAGCCCGCGUCCGAUUAGCUAGUUGGCGGGGUAAG